CGGAGCCGGGCGUCUCCGGUAUUGGUCCGGCCCGGGCCGUGCCGGGAUUCCUGCAGCCCCCGCCGUCCCCUGACGCCUCCCAGCCGCACGGCUCCGUGUUUUCCCUCCGCAGGUGUGUUGGAGCGGCACAGAGCCCCGCGGCUGCUGCCGGCUCCCCGCGCUGCGCGUGCCUUGAGGCGGCUGUUCUGCCCUGUGGGUGCAGGUGUUGAAGUUCUCUGCCGCUGGGAGCCUUCUGCAGGCAGCUGCUGUUGGGCGUGUUUUGAUGACACCACUGGUAAGCAAGAAGACGGACCAACUUCUGGAUACUUCAUGUGACUGAAAGCUGGAGGUAAUACUUGUCACUUACUUUAUUUGGCCGUCUUUAAUUUUUAAGAAAGCUCCAGGAUUGAGAUCAAUGUUACAGGUUGCCUGGAUGUGACAAACCUCUGUGAAAGUUUUGAAGCCAUCUGUGAAGUUUGCUGUAGUGAUGCAUCUUCUGGCCCUUGUGUAACAGGCCACAUCUGUGACUUUGACAUACUUCUAGAGGCUGAUUUUUCUCUUAGACACCUCUGCUAUUUUGUAUAACAGGAAGUGUCUUCAGCCAUCACCUCGCGAACAUUACUUCAUCUGCUGAACCUUUGUCCAUCUCUUCGGUCUUGACUUGACUGAAGUUCUCCGUAUCUGGAGGGAUUUUGCAAGAUGAGAGCUUCAGUGACUGCUGAUUUUGUUGUUGUUCUUUUUUCUCACUAGCUGCUGAGUUGUGUUAGUAUGAUCUGUGGCUUAUCUGUUUGGUGUGUCCUUUUAUGCAGCCUCCUCAGUGGUUUUAAUCUGACCAGUGUUUGGAUUCUGUUGGGUGUUACACGUGUUUCUUUUUGAAGAUAAGUUUGUGUGUUUAUUAUCAGAUGUGAUGUUUUAAAUUAAUUGCAGAGUUGUUGGUUUUUUUUUUCCCACCGGUGGCAAAACUGGCUUGGGCUACUCCAGCAGUGUGUUAUUAAAGCCAAAAUUGUUUUGAAGUUCUGCUGGGUUUUUACCUGUGCCAUUAGGGAAGAAUGGCCCCUCUUCACCUGCCAGAUCUGUAACA
Molecule: long non-coding RNA, 1060 nt
Filed under: Meleagris gallopavo (turkey)
Lineage: Eukaryota; Metazoa; Chordata; Aves; Galliformes; Phasianidae
Description: lncRNA (ENSMGAG00000020877.1)
Source: RNAcentral